RNAcentral lists this ribosomal RNA (534 nucleotides) under Pseudoparlatoria parlatorioides. RNAcentral describes it as "eukaryotic LSU rRNA". Lineage: Eukaryota; Metazoa; Arthropoda; Insecta; Hemiptera; Diaspididae. The record is from RNAcentral.
AUCUGGGCGGCGAAAUUCAGGAUGGCUGGGCUGGCCUCGCGCUAGUUCGGCCGUUUGAUGUUUUCGUCGCCACUCGCAGACGUCGCGACCUGUUUGUCGUCGGUCCCUGCUCGGAGGAAUCGCUGUCGAGUUCGUUGUGGGCGCGUUUCGGCGCGUUUCACGGCGAAGACGCGGAUCUCUGGCUGACGACGGACAGUAAGCAACGGUGGCCGGCGUCGUGUCUCGCACGCGACGUCGGUGCCGGUCAGCGACGAUUUCUUCGGGCCUCUUUCCGACCCGUCUUGAAACACGGACCAAGGAGUCUAACAUGCGCGCGAGUCGCGGGGUAUCGAGCGUACCACGGUGCGCUCGUUACAUCACGAAACCCGUAAUGUUGAAGGCGUAAUGAAAGUGAAUGGGGAAGAUGGCGUUCCGAGUACACGUUCCGUGAUCUGGUAUCGCGGCCGGACGCCCGCAUUCCCGGGGCGUCUCAACGGCUCGUCGCGAAUGCGGACGGUCGCCUUUCGGGGUGGCCGUCGGUCUGCGACGGACCGA